UUGGUUUAAAAUUUGACAGUUGUAUUUUUUUGAUUCCGAAUCUUAACCUUACUUUACAGGUGAUUUGAUUAUGUACAAAAAAUGUACAAUGUAAAUAAAUUGAACCAAGUAAUGUACUAAAAUAUGCUAUGUUAUAAUUUAAAACUCGUUAUGUUAGUCUUUUGAAAAAAAUUAAACUCAAAAGAGAUAUACUUGUUUACAGUGCAAAUUAAUGGCAAUAAUAGGGAUUUACGAUUUAAUUUGCAGGAAAAACAUGGGCAACCUACCCAGUUGGUAAAAUUUCAAUUCAAAAACUCUUUAGAUUUUACUGUGUGGAUGUCACAGGAAGAGAAACAAAAUAAUAUUCAGUCACAGGAGUACAAGAACAUGAAACA
Molecule: long non-coding RNA, 374 nt
Organism: Diabrotica virgifera virgifera (western corn rootworm)
Lineage: Eukaryota; Metazoa; Arthropoda; Insecta; Coleoptera; Chrysomelidae
Exons: 2
Source: RefSeq, a predicted model, not a curated record